AAGAGUUACAGAGGGACCAUUACAAUUUUGUAGAGGGCAAGGAAAUUUCUAUUUAUGCGUAUACAUAUAUUAGUUUUAAAGGAGCCCUUUUGUCAACUUCGCCCAAGGGCCCUGAAAAACAUAGGGCCGGCCCUGGCGCGCAGCCGCGGGCGCCUGGAUUCGUACGGGCCGCCGCGGCCGCCUGGAGUCGUACGGGCCGCCGCCUACCGGAAUCGCGCCGCCGCGCCUGAAUUCCUCUCACCCCCGGCCGUCUGGUUUCUCAUCUCUCCACCGCCGCCGUCCGUCUCCAGCAAGGUUCAGACCCGGUUAUUGCUAUACAUGUUAAGGUGGAUUUCGAAUCUCUACCUGAACUAGAUUGGAGUGUUCAAAAGACCAAUGCGUUCUACUACGGUAAGUUGAUUCUGGCUCUGCAUGAUCUUAAAUGUUCAGGCCUGGCAUGUCUGUCUCCUAACAGCAACGAGAAGAAAUCUUUUGACACCCUACUGGACUAUGCAACCUGUGGUCAUUUACAUGUGAAACAAGGUGAGUGCAAACAAUCUACGUUGAACUAAUUUGUUCCCGUAAACUUCAAACCACCAUUUUAACAUGGUACUGUUGCGGAGUAUGAGAUGUCUGCCUCAUCUGCAUGUGAAUUGGUGAAAUCUACUAAGAAGCGAGGAAGAGAUGUACUAAUGAUGGACGAUGAUUAUAGAGAGGACUUUUACCCGAUCACUCCACUUAUGGACGCAUCUGAAUAUUUUGAUGGCUGGUUGGCACAUUACUCAAUGCAGCUGAGGAAAUCCUGUUUGAGCCUGAUGCUGGGCAUCAUGGGCAAGCUGGGAGUUGUGGGAUACCCAUUUCUUAUGUAUGAUGAUAAUAAUAGUAUGUUGAAUGGCUGAAGAAAGUGAAGUUCAGUAAGUUAAAGGAUCCUGUGAAUGCUGGCAGAGAUGUCCACCACGCUAUCCACUGAUUCAAGGAAUCAAGGAAUCUCUUCUAGUGUAGAAGAUGCAAGCACAGAGUUGACCGAUAUGUUGAGAAGGACCCAACUUUAUUUCGAGUUUGCUCCUGAGGCUCUUCUUGUGUUGUUGCUUCUAGAUUGCGGUGCAUUCAGGAAAGCAGGAGAGAAACUGGAAACACUGCCUCAUGGUAAACCUCAUGACUCAAACUACAACAUUCCCCCUCAGUUUGACGCAACUUUCUCCGACAGCCACGACGCCAACACCAGUGCGAAAAUUCUUGCAACCAUCUUGCAAAUCCUGAAGGACAUUGGAACAUCAGACGCCUGGUGAGGUGACACUUCUAGAUCAGAUCAUGGAGCAUGUCUCCCUGUGCAUCGACAAUUUCCUGUGCGCGAAGGCUUAUCAGAAGGAGAGGGACCUGAGACGCAUGCCGUAUGGUAAAAUCGCUUCUGAGCUGUAUCGGGUCAGGGAGAACGGGGCUUUCCCAUCUAUGCGCUGCAAGUAUGGGUAUGGCGCGGAUAGCAUGUCCGAGCGGUUAAAACAGCUGCAAGAAGAGAGUUUAAUCUCGUCGUGCAGGCAUUGCAGAGAAUAGAGAUUGUCUAGAAGACUACGGCUGAGACUUAUCUGCGACAUUUGAUUCCUUGUGACUAUAACAUUUGUCAGGGUUCGAUUGAUUUAUUUAUGCCCCUGAUUUUUAUGAA
Long non-coding RNA from Lolium perenne, 1639 nucleotides. RefSeq lists it as uncharacterized. Lineage: Eukaryota; Viridiplantae; Streptophyta; Magnoliopsida; Poales; Poaceae. The record is from RefSeq and is a predicted model, not a curated record.